This 420-nucleotide long non-coding RNA is filed under the name Setaria italica (foxtail millet). Its description in RNAcentral is "long non-coding RNA (SITA_LNC001424)". Lineage: Eukaryota; Viridiplantae; Streptophyta; Magnoliopsida; Poales; Poaceae. The record is from RNAcentral.
UUUUGACCACGAACCGUGGGGCAAAACCCCCCGGCAACAGGGAAUAUAUUAAAAAACAACAAAGUAAAAUACAGACUUACAGGGAGAGAGAGAGCUAACCAGCGGCUAGGCGCUAAAUUAGACAACUACCUAACUGAAGGAGGAAGGGGGGGGGUGUUACAGGGCAUGAAGCCAUUGAGAGAUGGAGGGAUGCAGGUUCUGUUUGAUUCUAAUAAGAUGAUCAGCAACUUCAGAUUUGAAUGAGGUCUUCCAUGUAGCAAUACAUGGCACUUUGUUGUCAAAUAUGAGCCCAUUCCUUUCCUUCCAAAUGCACCAGGCACCAAUCAGGAAGAUCUCCAUAAAGAAAGGUUGCCCAAAACCCUGCUUUGCAAUGUAAAUCUUUUGAUGUAUAUUUGCAUUUGCACUCCAUGUAAUCCCUAG